RNAcentral lists this small nuclear RNA (273 nucleotides) under Cercocebus atys (sooty mangabey). Its description in RNAcentral is "7SK RNA (ENSCATG00000008130.1)". It matches the Rfam family "7SK RNA", at positions 1 to 273 of the family's 331-position model. Rfam says of the family: 7SK was discovered as an abundant small nuclear RNA in the mid-70s but a possible function has only recently been suggested. Lineage: Eukaryota; Metazoa; Chordata; Mammalia; Primates; Cercopithecidae. The record is from RNAcentral.
GGAUGUGAGGGCGAUCUUUUUUUGACAUCUGUCACCCCAUUGAUUGCCAGGGUUGAUUUGGCUGAUCUGACUGGCUAGGCAGGUGUCCCCUUCCUCCCUCACUGCUCCAUGUGUGUCCCUCCCGAAGCUGCAUGCUCGGGUAAAGAGGACAACCAUCCCCCAUAUUUUUUUGCCAGUCUUCGUUCAAGGGUAUUCGAGUAGCUGUAUUCCCCUGCUAGAACCUCCAGACACACUCUCAUUUUUUUUCAGAUUUAAUAAAGGCCAUAGGCCAGA